AUCAUCGUCUCCCUAGUUAAAUUUUAACAACUGGGAUGAGAAAAGACCUUUGUCCUAGAGAUAAAGUCAGAGGUGUUAUAAGCUUAUUAUCCUGGAAGUAAUGGAUUUAAUCUCAGUUUUGAAAAAGGCUGGAAUACAUCCCAGCUAACCAAAGUCCAGGACACGAUCAGCAGACUGCGAGCGAGCUCUUUCGCCCUAGAUAGCAGCAGAGCUGGUCCAAGCUGCUGUCAUCCUAGAGUUUCCUCUAGGGAACAGGACCUGUGGUGUCUAUCAGCCAGGCGGGCAGGAGGCAGUGCUGAACAUGGUACUAGUCACCUGGUACUUCUAGAGAGGCUGAGUUUCCCAGGGUGUUACCUGUGUCAUGAGGGGGAAGACUGGCCACCCAUCUACUCCCAUCUUUGUGAAAAAGAAGCUGAGACAGUGCGCGCAGCUGUGGCCUUGGCAGAGGAGUAGAGAGGGAAGUGCCGGGGAAGAAAUCUGAAAGAGCAUUUUCUGACAGGGCUGAGGGCAGCUGGCAGCCCCAACCCGGACCUGAGGUUUCUGCAUGAAGUUCUGCCCUGGCCCGUGUGUGAGUGAACAGCAGGGCCUUGGGGGAAGGCUGUGGCCAGCUCAAGCUGUGAGGAGGAAAACCUGAUCCACAAAAAUGCCAGCCAGUGUUACCUUCUCAAUAAAUUUUGGGAGAGAGAAAGCAAGAGACAG
Long non-coding RNA from Dromaius novaehollandiae (emu), 699 nucleotides. RefSeq lists it as uncharacterized. The transcript has 4 exons. Lineage: Eukaryota; Metazoa; Chordata; Aves; Casuariiformes; Dromaiidae. The record is from RefSeq and is a predicted model, not a curated record.